Chelonia mydas (Green sea turtle) is the source of this 704-nucleotide long non-coding RNA. RefSeq lists it as uncharacterized. NCBI's taxonomy places the organism in Eukaryota, Metazoa, Chordata, Testudines, Cheloniidae. The transcript is spliced from 3 exons. The record is from RefSeq and is a predicted model, not a curated record.
GGUGCAAAGGGGUCAGAGGGGAAGUGACCCAGGGAGAGAAGGAUGGCAGGGAGGCUGUCGCUAGAGGGUCCCUGAGUUGGGACCCAGAGUAGUGGGUGGGCCUGAGUUCCCCCACUUUUUGCCCCUUAUCUUGGACCUGGCCAUGGGAAGUGGCCAUAACGGACUGCAUCAGACCCCUGAGGGAAGGGGUUAGACUUUGGGGUGUGGUUGGACACUGUGGCAGGGGCGAACCAGGAGACUGCUCUUAAACACACCUCCCUCUUUCUAGCCCCCACCCGGAAGGGGGUGAGCGUGGACUAAGGGGCACUGCCAGAGGGCAGUGUCCUGAAGAGGAUGCCGCUGAGUGGGGAGCAACGUGGGUCCAGACUCCAACGGAGGGUGAGAGACUGAUGGGACACCACCAGCGGAGCAUGCUCCACAUGGACUGAGCUAAUUCCCGGAGUCACCAGCAAGAGGCGCCGUGAUGUUAAAAUGCCAAAGCCCAUCUGACAUUGAGAGUGUGAAGUCUCCUCUACUCAUGGUCAGGAUGAAGGUUUGGGAAGAAUAUUGAUUCUGAAGAAGAAACAUGGAGGUAGCUUCGGACAUAGAGGAUUCCAACUCAUGCCAUGUGGCAGUAAGAAGGAACUGGAGAGGUAUCAGUCUGCACAAUCCAUUAUGUCCUAGGUUCAGGGCAUGAGGAGGGAAACUGCACAGGUGCUCAUGAG